AGAUUUCUCACGAUACCACACUUACUGCUUUAUUGCUUAUUGGGAUCUGUGCACUAGCUAGAUUUUGCACAAUAAGCACCGCCACUCACGUUGAUGCAACUGGGUACUCAGUUCCUUACAUAUGACGCCGUCAAUCCUUUCUAUUGAUCUCACCGUUCCAUAACCUCACUCUCCUCUCACUCUAUCAAACUCUGAACUCGUCGAUGGCAGAUUUCAAAAAUGAAGCAUCUCUGUUUCACAAAUGAGCAACCUCGCCUCACGCCUUCAUAUUGUCUUGUGUCUCGGGCGCGAUUCCUCUAUUCUACUCGAAGAGAUAGCACGUGAACAGAGGGGUUGGUUCGUUGGGUAAAAUUCCUACAGACAGACUUCCCAUUUCACAUAUGGAUGAGCAGAUUUUUCAGAUUUCUCAUUUGUCUUGGGUAUGAUUCAUGCACGAAGAAUUUUGUAUUCUCAUAUGGGUUUUUAAAUUUGAAUUUGUGUAAAUUUGAAUUUGAGUUGUUAAAUUUGUAUGAGAUUUGAUUGCUGAACAUAUGAAUUUGUUGAAAAUUGAAUCUAGAAUUGCUAGUUGAUUAUGGUUUAUUGUUUGAUUAUGGUAUUUUGUUUGAUUCAUGGAGUUCAUUGGCAUCUGGUAUUGAGAUUGAUUAUCAA
This 648-nucleotide unclassified non-coding RNA is filed under the name Hevea brasiliensis (rubber tree). Lineage: Eukaryota; Viridiplantae; Streptophyta; Magnoliopsida; Malpighiales; Euphorbiaceae. The record is from RNAcentral.